RNAcentral lists this ribosomal RNA (497 nucleotides) under uncultured bacterium. Its description in RNAcentral is "partial 16S ribosomal RNA". It matches the Rfam family "Bacterial small subunit ribosomal RNA", at positions 28 to 507 of the family's 1533-position model. The record is from RNAcentral.
GAUGAACGCUGGCGGCGUGCCUAAUACAUGCAAGUCGAGCGAACAGACGAAGAUCUUGCUACUCUGCAAUUGACGGCGGAAGGGUGAGUAACCCGUGGGUAACCUACCCAUAAGACUGGGAUAACCACGGGAAAACAGAGCCAAUACCGGAAUAUAUCUUAAUCCCCAUGGUCAAAAAGUGAAAGACGGCUUUGCUGUCACCUAGAGAUGGAUCCGCGCUGCAUUAGCUAGUUGGUAAGGUAACGGCUUACCAAGACAAUGAUGCGUAGCCGACCUGAGAGGGUGAUCGGCCACACUGGAACUGAGACACGGUCCAGACUCCUACGGGAGGCAGCAGUAGGGAAUCUUCCGCAAUGGGCGAAAGCCUGACGGAGCAACGCCGCGUGAGUGAUGAAGGUCUUCGGAUCGUAAAACUCUGUUAUUAGGGAAGAACAAAUAUGAAAGUAACUAUUCACGUCUUGACGGUACCUUAUCAGAAAGGCACGGCUAACUACGUG